RNAcentral lists this ribosomal RNA (886 nucleotides) under uncultured bacterium. RNAcentral describes it as "bacterial SSU rRNA". It matches the Rfam family "Bacterial small subunit ribosomal RNA", at positions 26 to 896 of the family's 1533-position model. The record is from RNAcentral.
AGAGCGAACGUUAGCGGCGGGCCUAACACAUGCAAGUCGAACGAGAACGCUCCUUCGGGAGUUAUUAAAGUGGCGCACGGGUGAGGAACGCGUAGGUAAUUUACCCUUUGGCGGGGGACAACAUUCCGAAAGGAAUGCUAAUACCGCGUAAGACCACGCUCACUACGGUGAAAGUGGUUAAAGGUGCCUCAAAGCACCACCAAAGGAUGAGCCUGCGUCCCAUCAGCUUGUUGGUGAGGUAAUGGCUCACCAAGGCGAAGACGGGUAGCUGGUCUGAGAGGAUGAUCAGCCACACUGGCACUGGAACACGGGCCAGACUCCUACGGGAGGCAGCAGUGAGGAAUAUUGGGCAAUGGGCGAAAGCCUGACCCAGCCACGCCGCGUGUGUGAUGAAGGCCUUCGGGUCGUAAAGCACUGUGGGGAGAGACGAACAUGCGCAGGAGGAAAUGCCUGCGUACUGACGGUACCUCCUUAGCAAGCACCGGCUAACUCUGUGCCAGCAGCCGCGGUAAUACAGAGGGUGCAAACGUUGCUCGGAUUUACUGGGCGUAAAGCGCGUGUAGGCGGACUCGCAAGUCGGUUGUGAAAUCCCUGGGCUUAACCUAGGAACUGCAUCCGAAACUGCUUGUCUUGAGUAAUGGAGAGGGUGGCGGAAUUCCCGGUGUAGAGGUGAAAUUCGUAGAUAUCGGGAGGAACAUCAGUGGCGAAGGCGGCCACCUGGACAUUUACUGACGCUGAGACGCGAAAGCGUGGGGAGCAAACAGGAUUAGAUACCCUGGUAGUCCACGCCGUAAACGAUGAGAACUAGGUGCAGCGGAUAUUGACCUCUGCUGUGCCGUAGCUAACGCGUUAAGUUCUCCGCCUGGGGAGUACGGCCGCAAGGCUA